AAUUUUGGACAAUGGGGGAAACCCUGAUCCAGCCAUCCCGCGCGUAUGAUGAAGGCCUUCGGGUUGUAAAGUACUUUUGGCAGAGAAGAAAAGGCAUCUCCUAAUACGGGAUGCUGCUGACGGUAUCUGCAGAAUAAGCAUCGGCUAACUACGUGCCACCAGCCGCGGUAAUACGUAGGGUGCAAGCGUUAAUCGGAAUUACUGGGCGUAAAGGGUGUGUAAGGAGGUCGGAAAGGAAGAUGUGAAAAGCCAAGGGUCAACCUUGGAACUGCAUUUUUAACUGACGAGCUAAGGUAUGUUAGGGGGGGGUAGAAUUCCACGGGUAGCCGUGAAAUGGGUAGAUAUGUGGAGGAAUACCGAUGGCGAAGGCAGCCCCCUGGGAUAAUACUGACGGUCAGACACGAAAGCGUGGGGAGCAAACAGG
Molecule: ribosomal RNA, 424 nt
Filed under: uncultured bacterium
Lineage: Bacteria
Description: partial 16S ribosomal RNA
Rfam family: Bacterial small subunit ribosomal RNA
Source: RNAcentral